RNAcentral lists this ribosomal RNA (1019 nucleotides) under uncultured organism. RNAcentral's name for it is "bacterial SSU rRNA". It matches the Rfam family "Bacterial small subunit ribosomal RNA", at positions 356 to 1376 of the family's 1533-position model. The record is from RNAcentral.
GAGGAAUAUUGGUCAAUGGACGAGAGUCUGAACCAGCCAAGUAGCGUGAAGGAUGAAGGUUCUAUGGAUUGUAAACUUCUUUUAUACGGGAAUAAACGAAUCCACGCGUGGAUUUUUGCAUGUACCGUAUGAAUAAGGAUCGGCUAACUCCGUGCCAGCAGCCGCGGUAAUACGGAGGAUCCGAGCGUUAUCCGGAUUUAUUGGGUUUAAAGGGAGCGUAGAUGGGUUGUUAAGUCAGUUGUGAAAGUUUGCGGCUCAACCGUAAAAUUGCAAUUGAUACUGGCAGUCUUGAGUACAGUUGAGGUAGGCGGAAUUCGUGGUGUAGCGGUGAAAUGCUUAGAUAUCACGAAGAACUCCGAUUGCGAAGGCAGCUUACUAACCUGUAACUGACAUUGAUGCUCGAAAGUGUGGGUAUCAAACAGGAUUAGAUACCCUGGUAGUCCACACGGUAAACGAUGAAUACUCGCUGUAGGCGAUAUACGGUCUGCGGCCAAGCGAAAGCAUUAAGUAUUCCACCUGGGGAGUACGCCGGCAACGGUGAAACUCAAAGGAAUUGACGGGGGCCCGCACAAGCGGAGGAACAUGUGGUUUAAUUCGAUGAUACGCGAGGAACCUUACCCGGGCUUAAAUUGCAACCGAAUAUGGCGGAAACGCCAUAGCUAGCAAUAGCGGUUGUGAAGGUGCUGCAUGGUUGUCGUCAGCUCGUGCCGUGAGGUGUCGGCUUAAGUGCCAUAACGAGCGCAACCCUUAUCGAUAGUUACCAUCAGGUUAUGCUGGGGACUCUGUCGAGACUGCCGUCGUAAGAUGUGAGGAAGGUGGGGAUGACGUCAAAUCAGCACGGCCCUUACGUCCGGGGCUACACACGUGUUACAAUGGGGGGUACAGAAGGCAGCUACACGGCGACGUGAUGCUAAUCCCGAAAGCCUCUCUCAGUUCGGAUUGGAGUCUGCAACCCGACUCCAUGAAGCUGGAUUCGCUAGUAAUCGCGCAUCAGCCACGGCGCGGUGAAUACGUUCCCG